RNAcentral lists this ribosomal RNA (617 nucleotides) under uncultured Methanosaeta sp. RNAcentral's name for it is "bacterial SSU rRNA". It matches the Rfam family "Archaeal small subunit ribosomal RNA", at positions 83 to 704 of the family's 1478-position model. The record is from RNAcentral. Lineage: Archaea; Methanobacteriati; Methanobacteriota; Methanomicrobia; Methanotrichales; Methanotrichaceae.
CGGCUCAGUAACACGUGGAUAACCUACCCUUGAGACGGAGAUAAACCCGGGAAACUGGGUAUAAUACCCGAUAGAUCUCGACUGCUGGAAUGCAUCGAGCUUGAAAGCUCCGGCGCUCAAGGAUGGGUCUGCGGCCUAUCAGGUAGUAGUGGGUGUAGCGUACCUACUAACCUACGACGGGUACGGGUUGUGAGAGCAAGAGCCCGGAGAUGGAUUCUGAGACACGAAUCCAGGCCCUACGGGGUGCAGCAGGCGCGAAAACUUUACAAUGCUGGAAACAGCGAUAAGGGGACCUCGAGUGCCAGGUUACAAAUCUGGCUGUCGUGAUGCCUAAAAAGCAUUGCAUAGCAAGGGCCGGGCAAGACCGGUGCCAGCCGCCGCGGUAACACCGGCGGCUCGAGUGGUAACCGUUAUUAUUGGGUCUAAAGGGUCUGUAGCCGGCCGGAUAAGUCUCUUGGGAAAUCUGGCAGCUUAACUGUCAGGCUUUCAGGAGAUACUGUCUGGCUCGAGGCCGGGAGAGGUGAGAGGUACUUCAGGGGUAGGGGUGAAAUCUUGUAAUCCUUGAAGGACCACCAGUGGCGAAGGCGUCUCACCAGAACGGACCUGACGGCAAGGGA